This is an RNA transcript of Monodelphis domestica (gray short-tailed opossum), 1177 nucleotides long. RefSeq lists it as uncharacterized. The record is from RefSeq and is a predicted model, not a curated record. Lineage: Eukaryota; Metazoa; Chordata; Mammalia; Didelphimorphia; Didelphidae.
CUGUAGGAACCCCUGCUUCUGUCGAACACCGGCGAAUGUUUUUCUCGUUGCCGUGGGUGGAGUCUGGUGACGGCACAGGCACCUGAGCCUAUUUAAGGCUGGGUGCCGUGGUGGCGGCUGUCCAGAUCGGUCCUGUGGCAGUGGCGGUGGGACGUUUGCGUGAACGGUUGAUUUUCAGAGUUGUUGGUUCCCUUGGAGACUCCUACGGUCGCGAUGGCCCGUGGAAACCAAAGGGAACUUGCCCGUCAGAAAAAUAUGAAGAAAACACAGGAGAUUAGCAAGGGAAAAAGAAAAGAAGAUAGCUUGUCUGCCUCUCAGAGAAAGCAGAGGGAUUCUGAAAUCAUGCAACAAAAGCAGAAGGCUGCUAAUGAGAAGAAAUCUCUGCAGACAGGUGAAAAAUGAUCCAACAGUAAUUUGAAGAACCAGGUGGAUCACAAGAUCUGAAAUCAAGAAUUUGUAGAAUGACCAGCCAUUAAAAAUUAACAAUUUAUCAUAUCCUUAGACUUGUUUACUUCCUACUUACAUUUCUUUUUAAUUCCAUGAUAUAAGCUGCAUGUAUAGAAUAGUUCUUCUAAGAAAAGGAAUUUUAGUGCUUCAUGCUUAUAAAAGUAAUGGAAAUUAAUGACUGACUUAAUAUAUUUAAUAUCUAAAAUUGUAUAAAUAAGUCAUUUGAUACCAGAAUUUAAGUUUCAAAUCUUCAGCCUUUCUGUACUAUACUCAUUAACUUUAUUUAAAGUAAACAUUAAGAUCCAUUAGAACUUUUUACAUUUGGAUUUAUAAAAGCUAAGUUUCCAUGUAAUUUUUAGAGCAUGUUUUGCAUUAAGUAUUAUCUAAAUAUAACACUUCUCAGAUUAGGAAACAAAUGUUUUAACAACAGCAAUCUAAACUAGCAAUUUUAUAUUUCCUUGUAACUUGAAAAAAUUGAGAUUAUACUGAAUACCCUCUUUUAAUUCAGGAUUGAUGUUGCUUAUAAAAAUGUUCUUUUCUGAAAGCAGUAGAUCCCCAAAAGAUAGUAUCUAUCAAUUUACAGUGUAAAUAUACUAGAGGAAGAGAGAAAUGUCAUUUAGUGACAUUUUUGUUCAACUAGACAUGCUCUUCCUUCUCAAUUCCAAUAGAGGAAAAUGAGGUCCAAGAUGCAAGGUUUUUACAACUAAUAAAUAAUUACAAUCUGACUCAA